UACGAGUGCUCCAAGCGUUAUCCGGAAUCAUUGGGCGUAAAGGGUGUGUAGGCGGUUGUGUUAGUCUUUUGUUAAAUUCUUCGGCUUAACCGGGGGCGUGCAAAGGAAACGGCACAACUAGAGGAUGCGAGAGGUGAAUGGAACUCAUGGAGUAGGGGUGAAAUCCGUUGAUAUCAUGGGGAACACCAAAUGCGAAGGCAAUUCACUGGCGCACUCCUGACGCUGAGACACGAAAGCGUAGGUAGCGAAUGGG
RNAcentral lists this ribosomal RNA (253 nucleotides) under uncultured bacterium. RNAcentral describes it as "partial 16S ribosomal RNA". It matches the Rfam family "Bacterial small subunit ribosomal RNA", at positions 524 to 776 of the family's 1533-position model. The record is from RNAcentral.